GGAGGGGUGUCCGAGUGGCCUAAGGAGACGGUCUUGAAAACCGUUGUCGCCGCAAGACGACCGCAGGUUCGAAUCCUGUCCCCUNNN
This is a non-coding RNA of Chloroflexi bacterium RBG_16_51_9, 87 nucleotides long. NCBI's taxonomy places the organism in Bacteria, Bacillati, Chloroflexota. The record is from Rfam.